AGAUGCGAGGGUGAUCUGGCUGCAACAUCUGUCACCCCAUUGAUUACCAGUGUUGAUUUGGCCGUUCUGACUGACUAGGCGGGUGCCCCCUUCCUCCCUCACCGCUCCGUGUGCUUCCCUCUUGAAGCUGCACGCUUGGUCGAAGAUAGCCCUCCAGGAAUAGAGGAGGACCGGUCUUUGGUUGAGGGUAUAGUAGUAGCUGUGCUCCCUGUUAGAACCUCCAAACAAGCUCUCAAGGCCCAUACUCGGGCUUUUAUCUUGGAAUAUCUCUCUCUCUCUC
This is a non-coding RNA of Rattus norvegicus (Norway rat), 280 nucleotides long. The record is from Rfam. NCBI's taxonomy places the organism in Eukaryota, Metazoa, Chordata, Mammalia, Rodentia, Muridae.